UAGCAUCUCAGAAGCCCAAACCGGCUGUGACCAAUAUGGAGGCGAAGCUGAGCUUUCUUUGUCUCCAGCAGGGCAGGCGCUGAGGACUUACACAAAAUAAACAUGCAUCAGGAUCCUCAAAGACAAGAAAAGAUUGAGAAAACAUGGAAGGUGGCAAAGGCUAAGGAGAAAUAACAACUGAAUGUAAAGUGGAUCCUGGAUCAGAAAAAAAGACAUUAGUGGGAAAAUGGCAGAAUUUCCAUUAAGAUCUGCAGCUCAGUUUAUAAUGUUGUACCAUCAUGAAGUUCCUGUUCUCAAAAUAUCUACAAUUAGUUAUGUGGUUCCCUUUAGAGCAAGAGGGCUUGUGAGAUGUUAUAAAGACUGUACAUGGCCUAUUGUUGUACCUCUUCUAUAAUAUGAAAGUGAGUUGACAACUCCUUCAGGGACAAUCACAUUCACACAUUCAAUGAAGACUUGAGACAAGGAUCCUACCGCACAUCCUAGGCUCCCCUUGCCACCUCUUCAGACUGGUAUGGAGGGAAUGUGGCUGGUAGGUUGGGGGCAGGGAUAUGAAGGUCCAAGUCCCUAAGUGAUAGUGUCUAUUGUAAAUAGACACUCAUAGGUAUUGUGAGACCAGUACCUCCUUCAGACAUUGAAAAAGGACC
Molecule: long non-coding RNA, 644 nt
Organism: Panthera uncia (snow leopard)
Lineage: Eukaryota; Metazoa; Chordata; Mammalia; Carnivora; Felidae
Exons: 3
Source: RefSeq, a predicted model, not a curated record